This 159-nucleotide ribosomal RNA is filed under the name uncultured bacterium. RNAcentral's name for it is "partial 16S ribosomal RNA". It matches the Rfam family "Bacterial small subunit ribosomal RNA", at positions 335 to 488 of the family's 1533-position model. The record is from RNAcentral.
ACUCCUACGGGAGGCAGCAGUAGGGAAUUUUCCACAAUGAACGAAAGUUUGAUGGAGCAACACUGCGUGCAGGAUGACGGCCUUCGGGUUGUAAACUGCUGUUGUAAGGGAAGAAAAGCAAUUGGAGGAAAUGCCAGUUGUUGACGGUACCUACCAGAA